This 495-nucleotide ribosomal RNA is filed under the name uncultured bacterium. RNAcentral describes it as "partial 16S ribosomal RNA". It matches the Rfam family "Bacterial small subunit ribosomal RNA", at positions 28 to 507 of the family's 1533-position model. The record is from RNAcentral.
GACGAACGCUGGCGGCGUGCCUAAUACAUGCAAGUAGAACGCUGAAGGAGGAGCUUGCUCGUCUGGAUGAGUUGCGAACGGGUGAGUAACGCGUAGGUAACCUGCCUGGUAGCGGGGGAUAACUAUUGGAAACGAUAGCUAAUACCGCAUAACAGUAGAUGUUGCAUGACAUUUGCUUAAAAGGUGCAAUUGCACCACUACCAGAUGGACCUGCGUUGUAUUAGCUAGUUGGUGGGGUAACGGCUCACCAAGGCGACGAUACAUAGCCGACCUGGGAGGGGGAUCGGCCACACUGGGACUGAGACACGGCCCAGACUCCUACGGGAGGCAGCAGUAGGGAAUCUUCGGCAAUGGACGGAAGUCUGACCGAGCAACGCCGCGUGAGUGAAGAAGGUUUUCGGAUCGUAAAGCUCUGUUGUAAGAGAAGAACGAGUGUGAGAGUGGAAAGUUCACACUGUGACGGUAUCUUACCAGAAAGGGACGGCUAACUACGUG